CCUACGGGAGGCUGCAGUGAGGAAUAUUGGUCAAUGGGCGCGAGCCUGAACCAGCCAAGUAGCGUGAAGGAUGACUGCCCUACGGGUUGUCUACUUCUUUUAUAAAGGAAUAAAGUGAGGCACGUGUGCCUUUUUGUCUGUACUUUAUGAAUAAGGAUCGGCUAACUCCGUGCCAGCAGCCGCGGUAAUACGGAGGAUCCGAGCGUUAUCCGGAUUUAUUGGGUUUAAAGGGAGCGUAGAUGGGUUGUUAAGUCAGUUGUGAAAGUUUGCGGCUCAACAGUAAAAUUGCAAUUGAUACUGGCAGCCUUGAGUACAGUUGAGGUAGGCGGAAUUCGUGGUGUAGCGGUGAAAUGCUUAGAUAGCACGAAGAACUCCGAUUGCGAAGGCAGCUUACUAAACUGCCACUGACAUUGAUGCUCGAAAGUGUGGGUAUCAAACAGGAUUAGAUACCCGAGUAGUC
RNAcentral lists this ribosomal RNA (460 nucleotides) under uncultured bacterium. Its description in RNAcentral is "partial 16S ribosomal RNA". It matches the Rfam family "Bacterial small subunit ribosomal RNA", at positions 338 to 795 of the family's 1533-position model. The record is from RNAcentral.